GAUGAACGCUGACAGAAUGCUUAACACAUGCAAGUCUUUGGCGAAGCUGUGCUUGCUCAGCCUCGCCCAGGCGCACGGGUGAGUAACGCGUAACGAACUUGCCCUGCAUUCAGGGAUAACAGACCGACACGACUGAUAAGCCCUUGUAAAGUCAUGUGUACUCAUGUCCAGCCUGAUGAAAAGAGAUGCUGCAGGAGAGCCUUGCGUCCUAUUAGCCUGUUGGUUGGGUAACGGCCCAACAAGGCGAUGAUAGAUAGCCGGCCUGAGAGGGUGGACGGCCACAAGGCGACUGAGAUACAGCAGUUGCGACUCUGGGAGGCAGGGGUGAAGAAUGAUGGACAAAGGCGGCAACACUGAUCAAGGACUUCUGUGUGUAAGAUGAAGGUUUUCGGAUUGAAAAGUGCUUUAAGCAGGGAAGCAAAUAAUGACGGUACUUGCAGAAGAAGCGACGGCUAACUACGUG
This 463-nucleotide ribosomal RNA is filed under the name uncultured bacterium. Its description in RNAcentral is "partial 16S ribosomal RNA". It matches the Rfam family "Bacterial small subunit ribosomal RNA", at positions 28 to 507 of the family's 1533-position model. The record is from RNAcentral.